Molecule: ribosomal RNA, 340 nt
Filed under: uncultured soil bacterium
Lineage: Bacteria
Description: bacterial SSU rRNA
Rfam family: Bacterial small subunit ribosomal RNA
Source: RNAcentral
AGAUUGAACGCUGGCGGCAUGCUUUACACAUGCAAGUCGAACGGUAACAGGCCGCAAGGUGCUGACGAGUGGCGAACGGGUGAGUAAUGUAUCGGAACGUGCCCAGUCGUGGGGGAUAACGCAGCGAAAGCUGCGCUAAUACCGCAUACGAUCUAUGGAUGAAAGCGGGGGACCGUAAGGCCUCGCGCGAUUGGAGCGGCCGAUAUCAGAUUAGGUAGUUGGUGGGGUAAAGGCUCACCAAGCCAACGAUCUGUAGCUGGUCUGAGAGGACGACCAGCCACACUGGGACUGAGACACGGCCCAGACUCCUACGGGGAGCAGCGAGUGGGGUAAUUUGGAC